UACGUAGGUGGCGAGCGUUGUCCGGAAUUAUUGGGCGUAAAGGGCGCGUAGGCGGGAUAAUCAGUCUGUUGUAAAAGUUCGGGGCUUAACCCCGUGACGCGAUGGAAACUGUUAUUCUUGAGUACCGGAGAGGAAAGUGGAAUUCCCAGUGUAGCGGUGAAAUGCGUAGAUAUUGGGAGGAACACCAGUGGCGAAGGCGACUUUCUGGACGGUGUCUGACGCUGAGGCGCGAAAGCCAGGGUAGUGAACGGG
This 252-nucleotide ribosomal RNA is filed under the name uncultured bacterium. Its description in RNAcentral is "partial 16S ribosomal RNA". It matches the Rfam family "Bacterial small subunit ribosomal RNA", at positions 524 to 776 of the family's 1533-position model. The record is from RNAcentral.